This 81-nucleotide microRNA precursor is filed under the name Ictidomys tridecemlineatus (thirteen-lined ground squirrel). RNAcentral describes it as "miRNA (ENSSTOG00000024454.1)". The record is from RNAcentral. Lineage: Eukaryota; Metazoa; Chordata; Mammalia; Rodentia; Sciuridae.
AAGGCUUUCCCACACUUAUUAUUCUGAUGGCCUUUGGAGUGACUGUGGAUUCUCUGAUGGUGUGUGAGGAGCAAGGUCUGA